CGGAGGAUGGAGUUUCAGGUUUUGUUUUUGUUUCCCUUUCAGCUGCCACUACGGGUGUAGUUCGGAGUCUUGCACGAAGCAGGCUUACUGUAUUUAUGCAGACAUUCCUAAAACCGAUGCUCUACCUUGAGGGAAAUAGGUAUUUCCUUUGAGUUGAAUGUCAGAGGCAUUUUCGUACUCUAGUGAAGGAAGUUCAGUAUCUGUAAAACAAUUACUAAUAUUUCUCAAUCGGGAGCCUGCCCUUUUAUAUAGCAUUGAAUGGCUGGAAUUUGGCUGAACUCGUUUAGAAUUCAUAGAUAUGUAAUUUCAGCACUUUGGGCUCCAAAGACUUCAAGAAGAUGACACCUGUUCACCACACUCUUGCCUAGAAGACAGUCAAAUAUUUGCCUAGAUGCACAGACACCAGCGGGAACCAGUGUGGAACACUCACCACCUAGCUUUUGCUAACAGCAUGCCUUGCUCCUGAGUUCUCCUGAAGACUGUCCCAUCCAACUUGCCUCACUCCAAAGGCCUCCCUCCAAAGUGAUACCACAAGGGCCUCAUUGCACAGCCUCAACAGGGGUCAGCGCCACUCCGAUGUGACUCGUGCCCCGGGGAGAGGAGGAGAUAACCACACACACAGUAGUUCAAUGGCAGCCCCAGCAAGGGGCAGCAGGCAGACAUCUGCCUGCCUGCCCCACCCGCCAACAGAAACCUUAUAGGGUGGGGACAGCACAAAGAGAACCCAGUAGUUUAGGGUCACUGCAGCCACCACAGAAGACUGGGGACAGACAUCUGCUCUGACUCAUGACCUUGCCCACCAAUGAAAGCCUCUUGGGGACAACAGAAGCAGAAAACCCUGUAGUUUGAUGCAGUCACAGUUCCAGCAAGUGGGCUGAAGGCAAACAUCUGGUCUGACCUAAGCCAAGCCCAGAGUGGCCCCAGACUGGCACCGUAACAGCACAGGGACCAAACCCUGAUGACAACAACUGGCCUAAAGGCAAAUGUGGCUCAACCACAACAGUAGGGUGCAUGCAACACACAUAGGAGACACCCCUGAAACACCAGGUUCUAGUGAGGAGGGGACAUUGCACUACAGGGCAUUUCAGGAUCUUUUCAUAAGGCCACUUCUUUCAAGAUCAGGAGACAGAGCUUACUUUAAUACAUAGAAGCAGAGUUAGGAAUUAUGUCCCAAAUGAAACAACAGGACAAAAAAGAGAAUUUAAUGUAAUUGUCAUAAAGAUACUCACUGGACUUAAAGAUCUCCAUGUGACCUUCAACAAAGACAGAAAAUAUAAAAAAGAGGGGCACCUGGGUGUCUCAGUCGGU
This is a long non-coding RNA of Zalophus californianus (California sea lion), 1308 nucleotides long. RefSeq lists it as uncharacterized. The transcript has 3 exons. NCBI's taxonomy places the organism in Eukaryota, Metazoa, Chordata, Mammalia, Carnivora, Otariidae. The record is from RefSeq and is a predicted model, not a curated record.